This 106-nucleotide transfer RNA is filed under the name Monascus purpureus. RNAcentral describes it as "tRNA-Ser". It matches the Rfam family "tRNA". From Rfam's summary of the family: Transfer RNA (tRNA) molecules are approximately 80 nucleotides in length. Their secondary structure includes four short double-helical elements and three loops (D, anti-codon, and T loops). Further hydrogen bonds mediate the characteristic L-shaped molecular structure. tRNAs have two regions of fundamental functional importance: the anti-codon, which is responsible for specific mRNA codon recognition, and the 3' end, to which the tRNAs corresponding amino acid is attached (by aminoacyl-tRNA synthetases). tRNAs cope with the degeneracy of the genetic code in two manners: having more than one tRNA (with a specific anti-codon) for a particular amino acid; and 'wobble' base-pairing, i.e. permitting non-standard base-pairing at the 3rd anti-codon position. Lineage: Eukaryota; Fungi; Ascomycota; Eurotiomycetes; Eurotiales; Aspergillaceae. The record is from RNAcentral.
GACAGGAUGGGAGAGUGGUUAAUCCGCAAGACUCGAAUCUAAUCUUCUCUUGGAUUAGAGUGAUCUUGUCCCUUUGGGGUCGUCAGUUCGAAUCUGGCUCCUGUCG